GUCUACAGCCAUACUACCUGAACAAGCCCGAUCCCCUUUGAUCUCGGAAGCUAAGCAGGGCCGGGCCUGGUUAGUACAUGGAUGAGAGACACCUAAGAAGACCAGGUGCUGUAGGCA
Molecule: ribosomal RNA, 117 nt
Filed under: Pteropus alecto (black flying fox)
Lineage: Eukaryota; Metazoa; Chordata; Mammalia; Chiroptera; Pteropodidae
Source: RNAcentral